Molecule: transfer RNA, 948 nt
Filed under: Felis catus (domestic cat)
Lineage: Eukaryota; Metazoa; Chordata; Mammalia; Carnivora; Felidae
Description: lncRNA (ENSFCAG00000052408.1)
Source: RNAcentral
UGUGCUAUACUUCAAUACAACAUUUAAAAAUUACAAAUAGAUGUUCCUGUGUGUUUAACUUGAAUACCUGAAGAUUUAUCAAAGUAUAUAACCAGGUACAGCUUUUUAACUAGUAAGUAUAAUGUUUUUUAAGUUUAUUUAUUUAUUUUUUUUAGUAAUCUUUACACCUGACACAGGGGUCAAACUCAUGACCCGAGAUCAAGAGUCACAUGCUCUUCUGACUGAGCCAGCCAGGUGCCCCUAAACUACUGUUACAUAGUGACAUGGUUUGCACCUUCAGCCAUCAAGGCGGUUGAAAAAGAAAAUAAUCUGUCCCUCUGGAUUCUAGUUAUGGCUCUGCACCCCAGCACCUGUAAACUCAAAGUCAAAACUCCAUGGAUGCCUGGAUUCCAAGAUUAAACCUCUACUCACAAGCAAAAGAGUUGGUUGGAUAGGAGGCCUUGAACUUCAUCUGUGGACUCUAAAAAAUGCAAAAGAGCUGGAGAGAAAUGGCUACCUGCUGUGGAAGACCAGGCCCACCCUGUAUCCUCAGCCCUCUGCUCUCUCGACUUUGGGCCUAAAACUAUGUGUGAACAAGAAGAGCAGCUGUCACUAUAUGUAUGAAGGCACCCAGCUGGGGGUGGACAACAUCGAGACCUGCAUCCAGAAGACAUUUUGUGGCUCCAAGGAAGGACAAGGUCCUAGGCAUGAGGUUGCAGGGGAAUAAAUUCCCUCCAGCUGCAUCCAAAUGGGAUGCUUGACCAGACUGUCAGCUUGCUCCCUGGUAUUACCACCCCAUACUGAAAAGCAAUCCACAUAAGGAGCUCCAGCACCAGCGAAAGGUAAUGCAAAGAAGAGAGGAGAGAAAAGGCUUCCGGGUUCACCUUUCCCACCAUCUAGGGAAAGCACUAGAGAAUGAAGGUCAGCAUAAACAGAAGGACUCCUUUCCCUAAACUAAAAGCAGAAGAG